GAUGAACGCUAGCGGCAGGCCUAACACAUGCAAGUCGAGGGGUAACUAGAGUGAUAGCAAUAUUACUUUGGCUAGACCGGCGCACGGGUGCGUAACACGUAUGCAACCUACCUUAUACUGGGGAAUAACUUCGAGAAAUCGGCGCUAAUACCCCAUAACAUUGCGAAGAGGCAUCUCUUUGCAAUUAAAGCUCCGGCGGUAUAAGAUGGGCAUGCGUCCAAUUAACUAGUUGGUGAGGUAACGGCUCACCAAGGCUACGAUUGGUAGGGGUUCUGAGAGGAUGAUCCCCCACACUGGUACUGAGACACGGACCAGACUCCUACGGGAGGCAGCAGUGAGGAAUAUUGCGCAAUGGACGAAAGUCUGACGCAGCCAUGCCGCGUGCAGGGUGACGGCCCUAUGGGUUGUAAACUGCUUUUGUACGGGAAUAAACCCUUCUACGUGUAGGAGGCUGAAGGUACCGUAAGAAUAAGCACCGGCUAACUCCGUGCCAGCCGCCGCGGUAA
This 506-nucleotide ribosomal RNA is filed under the name uncultured bacterium. Its description in RNAcentral is "partial 16S ribosomal RNA". It matches the Rfam family "Bacterial small subunit ribosomal RNA", at positions 28 to 523 of the family's 1533-position model. The record is from RNAcentral.